AGCAGCCGCGGUAAUUCCAGCUCCAAUAGCGUAUAUUAAAGUUGUUGCAGUUAAAAAGCUCGUAGUUGAAUUUCGGGGUUAGUAGGCUGGUCGUGCCACCGGUACGUACUGGUCUUACUGAUUCCUCCUUCCUGAUGAAUUGUAAUGCCAUUAAUUUGGUGUUGCAGGGAAUCUGGACUGUUACUUUGAAAAAAUUAGAGUGUUUAAAGCAGGCUAACACUUGAAUACAUUAGCAUGGAAUAAUGAAAUAGGACGUUCGAUCCUAUUUUGUUGGUUUCUAGGAUUGACGUAAUGAUUAAUAGGGAUAGUUGGGGGCAUUAGUAUUCAAUUGUCAGAGGUGAAAUUCUUGGAUUUAUUGAAGACUAACUACUGCGAAAGCAUUUGCCAAGGAUGUUUUCAUUAAUCAAGAACGAAAGUUAGGGGAUCGAAGACGAUCAGAUACCGUCGUAGUCUUAACCAUAAACUAUGCCGACUAGGGAUCGGAUGAUGUUAAUUUUUUAAUGACUCA
This 508-nucleotide ribosomal RNA is filed under the name uncultured Glomus. RNAcentral describes it as "SSU rRNA". It matches the Rfam family "Eukaryotic small subunit ribosomal RNA", at positions 569 to 1078 of the family's 1831-position model. The record is from RNAcentral. Lineage: Eukaryota; Fungi; Glomeromycota; Glomeromycetes; Glomerales; Glomeraceae.